GAUGAACGCUGGCGGCGUGCCUAAUACAUGCAAGUCGAGCGAACGGACGAGAAGCUUGCUUCUCUGAUGUUAGCGGCGGACGGGUGAGUAACACGUGGAUAACCUACCUAUAAGACUGGGAUAACUUCGGGAAACCGGAGCUAAUACCGGAUAAUAUUUUGAACCGCAUGGUUCAAAAGUGAAAGACGGUCUUGCUGUCACUUAUAGAUGGAUCCGCGCUGCAUUAGCUAGUUGGUAAGGUAACGGCUUACCAAGGCAACGAUGCAUAGCCGACCUGAGAGGGUGAUCGGCCACACUGGAACUGAGACACGGUCCAGACUCCUACGGGAGGCAGCAGUAGGGAAUCUUCCGCAAUGGGCGAAAGACUGACGGAGCAACGCCGCGUGAGUGAUGAAGGUCUUCGGAUCGUAAAACUCUGUUAUUAGGGAAGAACAUAUGUGUAAGUAACUGUGCACAUCUUGACGGUACCUAAUCAGAAGGCCACGGCUAACUACGUG
Molecule: ribosomal RNA, 497 nt
Filed under: uncultured bacterium
Lineage: Bacteria
Description: partial 16S ribosomal RNA
Rfam family: Bacterial small subunit ribosomal RNA
Source: RNAcentral